GACGAACGCUGGCGGCGUGCUUAACACAUGCAAGUCGAACGGAAAGGCCCUGCUUUUGUGGGGUGCUCGAGUGGCGAACGGGUGAGUAACACGUGAGUAACCUGCCCUUGACUUUGGGAUAACUUCAGGAAACUGGGGCUAAUACCGGAUAGGAGCUCCUGCUGCAUGGUGGGGGUUGGAAAGUUUCGGCGGUUGGGGAUGGACUCGCGGCUUAUCAGCUUGUUGGUGGGGUAGUGGCUUACCAAGGCUUUGACGGGUAGCCGGCCUGAGAGGGUGACCGGCGACAAUGGUACUGAGGUACGGCCCAGACUCCUACGUGAGGCAGCGGGGGGGAAUAUUGCACAGUGGGCGGACGCGUGUUGCGGAGGCGCCGGGUGCGUGAUGACGGCCUGCGGGUUGUGAACCGCUUUCGCCUGUGACGAAGCGUGAGUGACGGUAAUGGGUAAAGAAGCACCGGCUAACUACGUG
RNAcentral lists this ribosomal RNA (468 nucleotides) under uncultured bacterium. RNAcentral describes it as "partial 16S ribosomal RNA". It matches the Rfam family "Bacterial small subunit ribosomal RNA", at positions 28 to 507 of the family's 1533-position model. The record is from RNAcentral.